This 494-nucleotide ribosomal RNA is filed under the name uncultured bacterium. RNAcentral describes it as "bacterial SSU rRNA". It matches the Rfam family "Bacterial small subunit ribosomal RNA", at positions 899 to 1397 of the family's 1533-position model. The record is from RNAcentral.
ACUCAAAGGAAUAGACGGGGACCCGCACAAGCGGUGGAUGAUGUGGAUUAAUUCGAUGCAACGCGAAGAACCUUACCUACCCUUGACAUGUCCGAAACUUGCCAGAGAUGGCUUGGUGCCCGAAAGGGAAUCGGAACACAGGUGCUGCAUGGCUGUCGUCAGCUCGUGUCGUGAGAUGUUGGGUUAAGUCCCGCAACGAGCGCAACCCUUGUCCUUAGUUGCUACGCAAGAGCACUCUAAGGAGACUGCCGGUGACAAACCGGAGGAAGGUGGGGAUGACGUCAAGUCCUCAUGGCCCUUAUGGGUAGGGCUUCACACGUCAUACAAUGGUCGGUACAGAGGGUUGCCAAGCCGCGAGGUGGAGCCAAUCCCACAAAGCCGAUCGUAGUCCGGAUUGUUCUCUGCAACUCGAGAGCAUGAAGUCGGAAUCGCUAGUAAUCGCAGGUCAGCAUACUGCGGUGAAUACGUUCCCGGGUCUUGCACACACCGCCCGU